This is a long non-coding RNA of Melitaea cinxia (Glanville fritillary), 338 nucleotides long. RefSeq lists it as uncharacterized. The transcript has 2 exons. The record is from RefSeq and is a predicted model, not a curated record. Lineage: Eukaryota; Metazoa; Arthropoda; Insecta; Lepidoptera; Nymphalidae.
UUCCUUCCUUUUCCUUGGUCUUCAGCCUCGGUCAGGUUCAGGGUGUGAUUUUGUUGGGGUUUUUGGCGUGGCGAACACGUGCUGUGCCGUUGUUGCCGUGGUUGGCUGCUAGGACCCCUAGCCGAGCAAAAUUUCUCAUCCCCGUCUGACAUCGUGAUAGAGAUGGUGUCGUGGACCUUGGACAUCUGAACUCAAGAGACUGGCGGUUGAUCGUCCAGGGAGUUUCUGCGGAGCCACGUGUCACGGAGACCCGCUAUGAUAAGUGACCACAGUUAACCUCCACCCACGUGUCAGAAAUAAUUCGAACCCGCAGUGUAGUUUAAAUUAAUAUUAGAUUA